GCCUGGCUGGCUCAGUUGGAAGAGCAUGGAACUCUUGAUCCCAGGGCCAUGCGUUCGAACCCCACGUUAGGUG
RNAcentral lists this transfer RNA (73 nucleotides) under Ailuropoda melanoleuca (giant panda). It matches the Rfam family "tRNA". Rfam says of the family: Transfer RNA (tRNA) molecules are approximately 80 nucleotides in length. Their secondary structure includes four short double-helical elements and three loops (D, anti-codon, and T loops). Further hydrogen bonds mediate the characteristic L-shaped molecular structure. tRNAs have two regions of fundamental functional importance: the anti-codon, which is responsible for specific mRNA codon recognition, and the 3' end, to which the tRNAs corresponding amino acid is attached (by aminoacyl-tRNA synthetases). tRNAs cope with the degeneracy of the genetic code in two manners: having more than one tRNA (with a specific anti-codon) for a particular amino acid; and 'wobble' base-pairing, i.e. permitting non-standard base-pairing at the 3rd anti-codon position. Lineage: Eukaryota; Metazoa; Chordata; Mammalia; Carnivora; Ursidae. The record is from Rfam by way of RNAcentral.